RNAcentral lists this ribosomal RNA (494 nucleotides) under uncultured bacterium. Its description in RNAcentral is "bacterial SSU rRNA". It matches the Rfam family "Bacterial small subunit ribosomal RNA", at positions 28 to 507 of the family's 1533-position model. The record is from RNAcentral.
GAUGAACGCUAGCUACAGGCUUAACACAUGCAAGUCGAGGGGAAACGACAUCGAAAGCUUGCUUUUGGUGGGCGUCGACCGGUGCACGGGUGAGUAACGCGUAUCCAACCUGCCCACCACUUGGGGAUAACCUUGCGAAAGUAAGACUAAUACCCAAUGAUAUCCCACGAAGGCAUCCGAAUGGGAUUAAAGAUUUAUCGGUGAUGGAUGGGGAUGCGUCUGAUUAGCUUGUUGGCGGGGUAACGGCCCACCAAGGCUACGAUCAGUAGGGGUUCUGAGAGGAAGGUCCCCCCACAUUGGAACUGAGACACGGUCCAAACUCCUACGGGAGGCAGCAGUGAGGAAUAUUGGUCAAUGGGCGAGAGCCUGGAACCAGCCAAGUAGCGUGCAGGAUGACGGCCCUAUGGGUUGUAAACUGCUUUUAUAAGGGAAUAAAGUGGGUCUCGUGAGACUUUUUGCAUGUACCUUAUGAAUAAGGACCGGCUAAUUCCGUG